AUGGGGUGCAGCAGGCGCGAAGCCUCCGCAAUACACGAAAGCGUGACGGGGUUACCCAAAGUGUUCAAUUUUGAACUGUGGUAGGUGAGUAAUGUUCCCUACUAGAAAGGAGAGGGCAAGGCUGGUGCCAGCCGCCGCGGUAAAACCAGCUCUUCAAGUGGUCGGGAUAAUUAUUGGGCUUAAGGUGUCCGUGGCCGGUUUAGUAAGUUCCUGGUAAAAUCGGGUAGCUUAACUAUCUAUAUGCUAGGAAUACUGCUAUACUAGAGGGCGGGAGAGGUCUGAGGUACUACAGGGGUAGGGGUGAAAUCUUAUAAUCCUUGUAGGACCACCAGUGGCGAAGGCGUCAGACUGGAACGCGCCUGACGGUGAGGGACGAAAGCCAGGGGAGCGAACCGGAUUAGAUACCCGGGUAGUCCUGGCCGUAAACGAUGCAUACUAGGUGAUGGCACGGCCAUGAGCCGUGUCAGUGCCGUAGGGAAACCGUUAAGUGUGCCGCCUGGGAAGUACGGUCGCAAGGCUAAAACUUAAAGGAAUUGGCGGGGGAGCAC
This 548-nucleotide ribosomal RNA is filed under the name uncultured crenarchaeote. Its description in RNAcentral is "bacterial SSU rRNA". It matches the Rfam family "Archaeal small subunit ribosomal RNA", at positions 325 to 879 of the family's 1478-position model. The record is from RNAcentral. Lineage: Archaea; Thermoproteati; Thermoproteota.